This 420-nucleotide ribosomal RNA is filed under the name uncultured bacterium. Its description in RNAcentral is "bacterial SSU rRNA". It matches the Rfam family "Bacterial small subunit ribosomal RNA", at positions 356 to 773 of the family's 1533-position model. The record is from RNAcentral.
GAGGAAUAUUGGUCAAUGGGCGCAAGCCUGAACCAGCCAUGCCGCGUGCAGGAAGACGGUCCUAUGGAUUGUAAACUGCUUUUAUACAGGAAGAAACACCUCCACGUGUGGAGGCUUGACGGUACUGUAGGAAUAAGGAUCGGCUAACUCCGUGCCAGCAGCCGCGGUAAUACGGAGGAUCCAAGCGUUAUCCGGAAUCAUUGGGUUUAAAGGGUCCGUAGGCGGUCUUAUAAGUCAGUGGUGAAAGCCCAUCGCUCAACGAUGGAACUGCCAUUGAUACUGUAAGACUUGAAUGCUUGUGAAGUAACUAGAAUAUGUAGUGUAGCGGUGAAAUGCUUAGAUAUUACAUGGAAUACCAAUUGCGAAGGCAGGUUACUAACAAGUUAUUGACGCUGAUGGACGAAAGCGUGGGGAGCGAAC